Molecule: long non-coding RNA, 472 nt
Organism: Cornus florida
Lineage: Eukaryota; Viridiplantae; Streptophyta; Magnoliopsida; Cornales; Cornaceae
Exons: 2
Source: RefSeq, a predicted model, not a curated record
GCUGGUUCUCUCUCUCUCACUCUCUUGAUUGCUUUUUCUUUUUCUUUUUCUUUUCUCAUUCAAUCUUUGAGACUUGAUUACUUCUUCAUUUCUUACUGGAUUUAGGUGUCGUUUGAGGCAAAACGAAGAGCACAGUGAGCUCUACACGUUUAUACCAUCAAUUCCAGCUUUGAGCCUCCCUAGCAUCUUCGAAAUUAAAACCCAUUUUUGAGGGUUUUUCGCAAAUAAGAGGUCAUAGCAAGGGUCAGCGGAUGACAAUUCACCGCAAGCUUGAAAGUUGUUUGAAGACCAUCUUGCUAUUUUGUACCUUGUCCAUUUUAUGUAUAAUCAUUUUGUGGGGGAACGUAACUAAGUGAUACAUGGCCUUGUAAUGUAAGAAUGAAACCUCACUUUUAAUUGAUGUAAAUGGGAUUAACGUAACCAUGAUUUAUAGCUUUAUGUAAAAGUAAUCAAGUGAUGUUUUAUGUGAUCA